RNAcentral lists this ribosomal RNA (522 nucleotides) under Cryptosporidium ryanae. RNAcentral's name for it is "SSU rRNA". It matches the Rfam family "Eukaryotic small subunit ribosomal RNA", at positions 321 to 880 of the family's 1831-position model. Lineage: Eukaryota; Apicomplexa; Conoidasida; Eucoccidiorida; Cryptosporidiidae. The record is from RNAcentral.
UUAGACGGUAGGGUAUUGGCCUACCGUGGCUAUGACGGGUAACGGGGAAUUAGGGUUCGAUUCCGGAGAGGGAGCCUGAGAAACGGCUACCACAUCUAAGGAAGGCAGCAGGCGCGCAAAUUACCCAAUCCUAAUACAGGGAGGUAGUGACAAGAAAUAACAAUACAGAGCCUUACGGUUUUGUAAUUGGAAUGAGUUAAGUAUAAACCCCUUAACAAGUAUCAAUUGGAGGGCAAGUCUGGUGCCAGCAGCCGCGGUAAUUCCAGCUCCAAUAGCGUAUAUUAAAGUUGUUGCAGUUAAAAAGCUCGUAGUUAAUUUUCUGUUAAUUUUUAUAUACAAUGCUACGGUAUUUAUAUAAUAUUAACAUAAUUCAUAUUACUUUUUUAGUAUAUGAAACUUUACUUUGAGAAAAUUAGAGUGCUUAAAGCAGGCUAUUGCCUUGAAUACUCCAGCAUGGAAUAAUAUUAAGGAUUUUUAUUCUUCUUAUUGGUUCUAGAAUAAAAAUAAUGAUUAAUAGGGACA